RNAcentral lists this long non-coding RNA (748 nucleotides) under Brassica rapa (field mustard). Its description in RNAcentral is "long non-coding RNA (BRAP_LNC006583)". The record is from RNAcentral. Lineage: Eukaryota; Viridiplantae; Streptophyta; Magnoliopsida; Brassicales; Brassicaceae.
UCUUUUUUUCAAGUGAAAAAUGGUAAUCUUACAUAUGUUUAAUGUAGUUUUUUCAUUUUUUAUGCUGUAUGUUUAAAUAUUAUUUAUAAUUUUCGAAAAUUAGUAAUAUUAAAAUGUAAAACUAUAUUUUAUGCCACGUGUCAUUUUUCGGAAGAAGUUUUUUUUGCUUAUGUGGACGCUCUAUGGAGCCUCAAGGUUAUAUAGCAAAUUACAUGAGUUUAUGGGUGUAUCUACGCCAAUUACUCUAUAUUUAAUGUAGUAUUUCUAUUUUUUAUGUUGUAUGUUUACAUAUAUUUGUUAUUUUCGAAAUUAUAUAUAAUGUUUUUUGUUUUUUUUAUAAAACGGUAUUAUUACAUUAUGGAAUUAAGCCGUCUUUUUUUUUAAAGUGAAAAAUGGUAAUUUUACAUAGGUUCAAUGUAGUUUUUCUAUUUUUUAUGUUGUAUGUUUCAUAUUAUUUAUAAUUUUUGAAAAUUAGUAAUAUUAAAAUGUAAAACUAUAUUUUAUGCCACGUGUCAUCUUUCGGGAGAAUUUUUUUCGCUGAUAUGGACGCUCUAUGGAGCCUCAAAAAGUCCCUUUUAUUGGUAAUAUUACAUUAUGGAAUUAAACCGUCUUUUUUUUUAAAGUGAAAAAUGGUAAUUUUACAUAUGUUCAAUGUAGUUUUUCUAUUUUUUAUGUUGUAUGUUUCAUAUUAUUUAUAAUUUUUGAAAAUUAGUAAUAUUAAAAUGUAAAACUAUAUUUUAUGCCACGU